CUAGCUGUAUGAUCACGGUCUCGACCUCUGCUUAAAUUCAUUUUCUCCUUCAUGAUCUGUAAAGACGUGUCACGUGUUAAAUUCUUUGUAAAAUUAGGGAGUGAUUUUGUAUACGAAAUGAAGACUUCGGACCUUAUUUGUAUGGUUGGUUAGCUUACCUUGACCAUCUCACGUGUUUUUUCAAUGAAAUUUCGUCGGAUGGUCAAUUCCUUAUUAUCGAUUUUAAAUUUAUUCGGAUUUUUCUCUACGAUACGUAUCGUGUCUUCGAGAUCUUCUAGAUCCCACUCAAUGGAUCUAAGAGCGUUUCGCAAUUCGGUGGUAGUCCACUCAAGUUCUUCACGGGAAACCGGAAGUCCACCGACUACUGGAGUUGACGUUGCACUCGAUCCAUCUUGCAACUCUGUCCACCGUCCGUACAAUGCACGUGUUUUAUUGAGAGCUUUACACACCUCGCUAGAAGUAUGAAAGAAGAUUGUAAUAAUUCCUAUCAUCUUGAAAAACAUUCCUUAAAUCCCA
This 516-nucleotide unclassified non-coding RNA is filed under the name Athalia rosae (coleseed sawfly). RNAcentral's name for it is "misc RNA ENSAEAG00005011322.1". Lineage: Eukaryota; Metazoa; Arthropoda; Insecta; Hymenoptera; Athaliidae. The record is from RNAcentral.